UAGAAACAUUUUCAUUUCCAAUUGUUCAUAACUAGUAUAUAGAGACAUAGUUCAUUUCUCUAUGUUACUUUUACAUAGGUUUAAACUCCAUGAUAGAUUAUUUUGUUUCAAUACAUUAAUUGUAUUUGUAACAUUUCAUAUAACAAGGAAAGUGUCUUUAUAUUUACCUACGUAGUUUCAAUUUCUGGUGUUUUUCAUUCCUUUCUGUGGAUCUGGAAUCCCAUUUGGUAUCAUUUUCAUCUGUCUUAAUGUCUUUGGCAGUUUUUUUGUGACUAGGAGGGGUGUGGCAAAACAUUCAUCAGGAACUACCAUCUGUCCCUAGAUCUUGAUUCACACCGAAGAAAAGCCAUCUCUACAACUAUUGGCUGUGGUCAAAAAUGCCAACGUCUUUGGCAUUUCAGAUUUAUCUUCUUAAAGAGACAAGAAUACUAAGUUCCACAUGGACUCGCCAUCCUCAAAUCGCUGGCUGCGUACUUUCUCCAUGCACUUUCCUCUCUACCUCUUGUACCUCUCAUUGGCUGAGCCUACCAUGGAGUCAGAUGGCAAUGAUGAAUGUGGGGUGCAGAGUGCCAGCACCAGCAUCACAGUUUCACAAGGAAUUGGAGACCAAGGUCCCACACUGAAAACAAGAAGUUGCUACCACUUCAAGACUGCUACUGUACCAGGGAGGUGGUGUGAUAAAGGCAAGUAAAAAAACUGAGAAUUUUUUGUCAAUUUCAACUUGCCUUUUCUUAACAUUCACUUGAUUGACACAAACAUUUGACUGUUUUUUAGAAUUUUGUCAAAGUUGUUUCUAACGAUUCAUGCUUAUUUGUUGCUUCUUCUGGGGAUGAAGGAGAGAUUGGUAUUGCCUACUCUACCAUUUUGCUGAUGUUAC
RNAcentral lists this long non-coding RNA (877 nucleotides) under Homo sapiens (human). RNAcentral describes it as "HSALNT0328588". Lineage: Eukaryota; Metazoa; Chordata; Mammalia; Primates; Hominidae. The record is from RNAcentral.